GUCAGACAACACUAGCCACUUGUCGCAGCCACAGGUAGCAUCCACCACCAUCAACAUGUACAAGCUGCUCCUUGUCGUGCUGGCUGUGCUCGCCGCCGCCUCCGCCCAGUACGUCAGCCCCUACUACGGCUACGGUGGAGCGUACCGCAGCGGCUACUACGGCGGGUACGCCGCUCCCUUGGCCUACGGCAGGUCCCUGGGAUACGGCUACGGCGGAUACCUGUACGGCUGAACGGUGGUGUGUCUGGUCUGUUGACUGAGCGAGAUAUUCCUUGUCUACAUAUUGUAUCAGUAUGUGACUAAUGAAAUAAACCUCUUGGUCAGCUUAAAAUUAGUGAUUUAUUUUUUGUUUUGUACAAAUGUAUUAUUUGGAUUCAAAAUAUUCUACUGUGAACAAAAUAAUGCAAGAAUACAUAUUUUAAAAACAUAUAAAAA
This is a long non-coding RNA of Bacillus rossius redtenbacheri, 435 nucleotides long. RefSeq lists it as uncharacterized. The record is from RefSeq and is a predicted model, not a curated record. The transcript is spliced from 3 exons. Lineage: Eukaryota; Metazoa; Arthropoda; Insecta; Phasmatodea; Bacillidae.